This 72-nucleotide transfer RNA is filed under the name Camelus bactrianus (Bactrian camel). It matches the Rfam family "tRNA". Rfam says of the family: Transfer RNA (tRNA) molecules are approximately 80 nucleotides in length. The record is from Rfam by way of RNAcentral. RNAcentral also lists the same sequence under 2 other names. Lineage: Eukaryota; Metazoa; Chordata; Mammalia; Artiodactyla; Camelidae.
GAGGGUAUAGCUCAGUAGUAGAGCACAUGCUCAGUAUGCUUGAGGCCCUGGGUUCAAUCCCUAGUACCAUCA